UGGGGAAUCUUGGACAAUGGGCGCAAGCCUGAUCCAGCCAUGCCGCGUGAGUGAAGAAGGCCUUAGGGUUGUAAAGCUCUUUUGCCAGGGACGAUAAUGACGGUACCUGGAGAAUAAGCCCCGGCAAACUUCGUGCCAGCAGCCGCGGUAAUACGAAGGGGGCUAGCGUUGUUCGGAUUUACUGGGCGUAAAGCGCACGUAGGCGGGUCGUUAAGUCAGGGGUGAAAUCCCGGAGCUCAACUCCGGAACUGCCUUUGAUACUGGCGACCUUGAGGCUGGAAGAGGUUAGUGGAAUUCCCAGUGUAGAGGUGAAAUUCGUAGAUAUUGGGAAGAACACCAGUGGCGAAGGCGGCUAACUGGUCCAGAUCUGACGCUGAGGUGCGAAAGCGUGGGGAGCAAACA
RNAcentral lists this ribosomal RNA (402 nucleotides) under Caulobacter vibrioides. Its description in RNAcentral is "partial 16S ribosomal RNA". It matches the Rfam family "Bacterial small subunit ribosomal RNA", at positions 355 to 774 of the family's 1533-position model. The record is from RNAcentral. Lineage: Bacteria; Pseudomonadati; Pseudomonadota; Alphaproteobacteria; Caulobacterales; Caulobacteraceae. RNAcentral also lists the same sequence under 3 other names.